GCCCCCGCGGGAUGAUGAAUUGAUCUCCUACAUCCUCAAUGGGUUGGACAUGGAGUAUCAACCUCUAGUCUCCGCCUUCGAUGCUCGGGU
This 90-nucleotide small nucleolar RNA is filed under the name Triticum urartu. Its description in RNAcentral is "Small nucleolar RNA Z247". It matches the Rfam family "Small nucleolar RNA Z247". Rfam says of the family: Z247 is a member of the C/D class of snoRNA which contain the C (UGAUGA) and D (CUGA) box motifs. Most of the members of the box C/D family function in directing site-specific 2'-O-methylation of substrate RNAs. Lineage: Eukaryota; Viridiplantae; Streptophyta; Magnoliopsida; Poales; Poaceae. The record is from Rfam by way of RNAcentral.